UGAGUUGGGAUUGCUUCUCCUGUUCCAUU
This 29-nucleotide non-coding RNA is filed under the name Rattus norvegicus (Norway rat). Lineage: Eukaryota; Metazoa; Chordata; Mammalia; Rodentia; Muridae. The record is from RNAcentral.